CAGAUAUUAUUUUUAGGGUCUUUUUGAAAAAAAAAUUUUCAAAUAAUAGCAAAUAUUUCCAAUGGAAUAAUUUUCCUUUGCUCUUAAAUUUAUUAUUAGGUAAACGAAAAUCCACAUUACAUAAUGCAAGAACUUAUGGUAAUUUCAUCAGAGCAUAUUGGUAAAAGCUAAAGGAAUCAAAAUCUUCUGAAACAAAACAUUGUUCUCGUUUGUAACGGGAGAUUUAGCGUGCUUCUCUUUGAAACCAUCUUCACAAGUGACAGGUUCAUCCAAAGCAGCACUCAGAUGCAUAUUAGCACUUUUGUAAUCACUGGAUUUAACGUUCAUCAAAGCUUCUUUUAAAGAACCAUAAGCAUCGUCAUAAAGCUUUACGCAAGUGCGUAACGCGGGUUCAGUACUCGGUGCAUACUUUUUGCUCUUGAGAAUAGUCUCAACUAUCCCUUUCACGUUAAUUGUUUUGGAUGCAGCAUUAUUCGUUGCCGCUAGGACCAAUCCUGAUAGACUAGUUGCAGUUUUGCUUUGCGGAUCUUGUUCAAGUGAUUGGAUGCAAAAAUCAUACUUGAGAUUAGGGUCUUUUGCUGCAGCUGUUUUGCAGGAAUCUCGAAUCAAGGUUUGCGCGGCUGCGAAACAGUUUAGGAGGAGAAAGAACAUUACAACUGAAACGAAGAACUUCAUGCUUUUGUUUUCUUUGUGAGAGAUGAGAAUAUAUGAAUAUGAUGUUAACUUUGUGAUUCACGAGGCUGAUAUAUAUAUAUAUAUAUCUGACGUAAGGGUAUAUGUCAUUGUUUCCCGUUUUCUUGUGUGUUAUAAACUUAUUAUAAAAAGAAUAUUUCAGUUUUAGUAAGAAGAUACUAUUUCAUAUUAAAAACUCUGUUUACAUUUUUAAAAACUAUAAUAUAUUCACUUGGAUUAUUUCUCAAAUUGUCAAUUUAUCUGAACAUGGUCAACAUGUAACAGUAGUUUUCCAUAUAUACACGUCGUCAGAUUUAGUCAACUCUCAGAGCAUCAUUACUGGUUCAAUUUCUUAGUGGAGUACCUGAUGAGUUUAAUAUUAAUAGAGUUUUAUUGUGUAAUUAAAAUUAAAACCAAUAAUAUGUACAUAACCAUUCGUAAAGUAACAUGUGGCAAGAUGGAUUGUGUUGUACGUUUAUGAAAGCUUUCUAUUUUAUGAUCUCUAAGCUGGAGUUUUGAUGUUCUUUCUGGUCUUUUUAUUGUUGUAUCUGGUGAUGAUAUGAUACAAAAAGCCAAGAGGUAUGGGAUCUGCAUGUUUUCAAAUAGUGCAUAGGAAAAAACAGAGGUUCAGACAAGAGCUACAAGAAGGCUCACCUAAGAAAUAUAAGCCUUUGGCCGGAGCUUCUCACGCCAAAGGACUCGUCCUUGAGCUCAUGUAAGACAUAGAAUAUGCUUCUUUAUCUAUUUUUUUUGUGUGUGUGGACAUUGUUGAUGAUGAGCGAUUCUCUGUCUGUUUGAUUAUGCAGAGGAAUGUAGGCUAAGCAGCCAUGUUCUGGUAUAUGUAAGUGUACUAGAGUACAACUUGUCAAGAAUGGAAAGAAGAUUGCUGCUUUUGUCCCCAACGAUGGUUGUUUGAACCUCAUUGAGCCAAAUGUAAGCUGAAUGAAUAAAGCCUUUUGUAACCAUUUAUGAUUAGUUUUGUCAAAGGUUGAAUUCAUGUUUUGUGUUAUGUUGUUUGCAGGACGAGGUUUGAUAUCUGGAUUUGGGCGUAAGAGUCAUACUGUGGGAGAUAUUCCAGGCGUAAGGUACAAGGUCGUCAAGGUUUCUGGUGUUUUACUCUCUGCUCUCUACAAGGACAAGAAGGAGAAGCCAAGGUCUUAAAACAAAACCUUCAAAGCUUUGAAUUUUAUUUUUGAUGGCAUAAGCACUUUUCAGUAUUUUAGUUAAAUAAAAGAACUCUUGUGUUAUGUUCUACUUUGGGAUUCAGUAACUUGGUGUGUUAAAUCUUGUAUUCUGAUGACCAUUUGAGUUUUUAGUUUAUUCGACCUUAUAAUAUGUCACUGCCAAUGGCAUGGAAUUCUAUUACUAAUCCAAAACAAGUGAUACAUAUCACUACAUAAUGUACUCAUUCGUAAUCCUGGCAAUUAUAAGUCAUAAAGAUAAACAAAAGUCACACAGCCAGCUUACAAAUUGAAUAAGGUAGCCAAACAAGUUUAAGAUCACAUCAGUGACCAAUCAAAACAGACCAGAAACUAAACAGACCAUAUCUAAUAUACAUAAAUAAUUUUAUAAUCAAUUAUACAUUUUAACUCAUACAAAAUUUUAACAAUAAUCUAUUGUAAAAAUUAAAUUUAGUAAAACAUAAGAUAAUCCACUAAAAUAUAUAAAAUUAAGCAAAAAAAUUAUGUAAAUUUAUUUACAAGUUUGUUUCUUUUCUACUAACAAUAAAAAAAAAGAACAGGAUGGGUUUUUUUUAUCAUCCAACUACAGAAAAUCACAAAAUAAAUGAUGUAAUGCCACAUCAAAUUCUUAAUAUAUAAUUAAAACAUAGAUUACUUACCAAAAGAAAAUCAUCUUGAACCUUUUAACAAGAAAAAAAAAAUUCAAAAAUUUAAAAAAUCAUAACUAAUUUUUCAGAUAACAUGGUUUAUUUAGUUGUUCAUAUACAAUAACAUGCACAAAAUUUAACUAUUAUGUAUAUUUCUAAAUAAUAAAAAUUUAUAUUAAAUAUUUACUCUAGUUACUUAAUUUAUUUGUUAAUUUUCAUCCCGCAUUUAGGGCGGACCAGCCCUAGUAUAAUUAUAACAUACUGUAUUGAUUUUUUCCGCUAAGACAGUGGAGUAUUUAAAUUUUCUUUUUUUUGCAGAUAUUAUUUUUAGGGUCUUUUUGAAAAAAAAAUUUUCAAAUAAUAGCAAAUAUUUCCAAUGGAAUAAUUUUCCUUUGCUCUUAAAUUUAUUAUUAGGUAAACGAAAAUCCACAUUACAUAAUGCAAGAACUUAUGGUAAUUUCAUCAGAGCAUAUUGGUAAAAGCUAAAGGAAUCAAAAUCUUCUGAAACAAAACAUUGUUCUCGUUUGUAACGGGAGAUUUAGCGUGCUUCUCUUUGAAACCAUCUUCACAAGUGACAGGUUCAUCCAAAGCAGCACUCAGAUGCAUAUUAGCACUUUUGUAAUCACUGGAUUUAACGUUCAUCAAAGCUUCUUUUAAAGAACCAUAAGCAUCGUCAUAAAGCUUUACGCAAGUGCGUAACGCGGGUUCAGUACUCGGUGCAUACUUUUUGCUCUUGAGAAUAGUCUCAACUAUCCCUUUCACGUUAAUUGUUUUGGAUGCAGCAUUAUUCGUUGCCGCUAGGACCAAUCCUGAUAGACUAGUUGCAGUUUUGCUUUGCGGAUCUUGUUCAAGUGAUUGGAUGCAAAAAUCAUACUUGAGAUUAGGGUCUUUUGCUGCAGCUGUUUUGCAGGAAUCUCGAAUCAAGGUUUGCGCGGCUGCGAAACAGUUUAGGAGGAGAAAGAACAUUACAACUGAAACGAAGAACUUCAUGCUUUUGUUUUCUUUGUGAGAGAUGAGAAUAUAUGAAUAUGAUGUUAACUUUGUGAUUCACGAGGCUGAUAUAUAUAUAUAUAUAUCUGACGUAAGGGUAUAUGUCAUUGUUUCCCGUUUUCUUGUGUGUUAUAAACUUAUUAUAAAAAGAAUAUUUCAGUUUUAGUAAGAAGAUACUAUUUCAUAUUAAAAACUCUGUUUACAUUUUUAAAAACUAUAAUAUAUUCACUUGGAUUAUUUCUCAAAUUGUCAAUUUAUCUGAACAUGGUCAACAUGUAACAGUAGUUUUCCAUAUAUACACGUCGUCAGAUUUAGUCAACUCUCAGAGCAUCAUUACUGGUUCAAUUUCUUAGUGGAGUACCUGAUGAGUUUAAUAUUAAUAGAGUUUUAUUGUGUAAUUAAAAUUAAAACCAAUAAUAUGUACAUAACCAUUCGUAAAGUAACAUGUGGCAAAGUCUAUGUGCGACCAGACGUUUCUUCCCAUUUGACGCUCUCUCUCUUGCUUUAUUAAUUUUUUAUUAUUAUAAAUGUCAGUCUCAUGAGUUACUCUUCCACUGCAUGUGCUCUUAGCUUUCCAUAUCAUACAUAAAAUAUCAAAAAUGAGAUCUCUUCUACAGUUAUUAAAAAACAAAAAUAUACCUUUUAAUAUUGAUUUUCUCAAAAUCAUAUUUGAGAUUAGGGUCUUUUGCUGCAGCCGUUUUGCAAGAAUCUCGAAUCAAGGUUUGCGCGGCAGCGAAACAGUUUAAGAGUAGAAAAAACAUUACAACUGAAACGAAGAACUUCAUGCUUUUGUUUUCUUUGUUAGAGAUGAGAAGAGAUGACUACGAUGUUAACUUUGUGAUUCACGAGGCUGUUAUAUAUAUAUAUAUAUAUAUCUGAUGUAAGGGUAUAUAUUCUCCUUUCUUAUAUGUCAUUAUUUCCUGUUUUCUUGUUUGUUAUGAACUUAUCAUAAAAAAAAUAUUUCAGUUUUAAUAAGAAUAUACUAUUCCAUAUUAAGAACUCGAUUUAAAUUUUUAAAAAAUCAUAAUAUAUUCACUUUUAAGGAUUAUUUCUCAAAUUGUAAAAAUUUAUCUGAACUUGGUCAACAGGUAACAAUAGCUUUCCAUAUAUACACGUCAGAUUUAGUCAACUUUUAGACCAUCAUUAACCGGGGGUCUUAGCAAUAGGGUCCUUAGCAAAAACUAAUAAAAUAUUGGGUGGGUCUCACUAAUUUUUAAAAAUCGGGUCCCUAAGGUUGUGAUAUAAGGACAGACCUUCACUUGUUUUUUUUUUUGGUCUGGUAAAAAAAAAAAUUAGAAGGCGAACCAAAAAUAUAAAAAAAAAUGAGAUGUCUUCUACAAUUAUUAAAAAAACAAAAAUAUACCUUUUAAUAUUGAUUUUCUCAUCAAUUUUUCAUAUAGAGGUCGGCAUGCAAAAAUCCUAAAUCAAAAAAUGUGUAUUUACUAAAUAUUUAACUAACAUCUGUAUCAGGAAAAACUUUCAAUCUCAUUAUUUAUUCAUCACGCAAAAAAAUGAUCAGUACUACUCGUAAAAAACAGUGAUGUUGUGCAUUUUUAAAAAUAAAUAUUUAAUUAUUAAAAAAAUACAGACACUAUAGAAAAUUAAAUAAAAGUUUAAUUCCACAAAAACAAAAAAAAAUUGAAAAUUAAAAAAUAAAUCAAAAUAUUCAAACAAUUUUUCAAUAAGUAAAAAAAAGAUUGAAAACUGAAAAAGUUACAGAGAUAUUUUAAUUUUGAAAUUUGGCUAGAACCGAUAUGAACCAUCAUCAUUUUUUUUUAAAUAGGCCUAAAACAGUUUUAAUGAUUAACUAAAUUGGCUAUGUUGAAAACCGUCAACUCAUCGAUUUGUCAACGAUGUUAAGUCGAAAAUUGUGAUCAGAGACAUAAAGUAUUUUAAAUUUCUGUCUUUUUGCAAAUACUAUUUUAGUGUUUUAUAAUUUCAAAUAGUAGCAAAAAUUUCCAAUAAAAUAAAGUUCCUUUGCUAUUAUUUAUUAUUAGAUAAAGGAAAAUUCAUAGCACAUAAUACAAAAAGUUAUGGUAAUUUCAUCAGAGCAUAUUUGUAAAAGCUAAAGGAAUCAAAAUCUUCUGAAACAAAACAUUGUUCUCGUUUGUAACGGGAGAUUUCGCGUGCUUCUCUUUGAAACCAUCUUCACAAGUGCCCGGUUCAUCCAAAGCAGCACUCAGAUCCACAUU
This 5682-nucleotide long non-coding RNA is filed under the name Brassica napus (rape). RNAcentral's name for it is "long non-coding RNA (BNAP_LNC011973)". The record is from RNAcentral. Lineage: Eukaryota; Viridiplantae; Streptophyta; Magnoliopsida; Brassicales; Brassicaceae.